RNAcentral lists this unclassified non-coding RNA (331 nucleotides) under soil metagenome. Its description in RNAcentral is "partial contains 5.8S ribosomal RNA, internal transcribed spacer 2, and large subunit ribosomal RNA". The stretch from base 1 to 120 matches the Rfam family "5.8S ribosomal RNA", at positions 35 to 154 of the family's 154-position model. The record is from RNAcentral.
GAUGAAGAACGUAGCGAAAUGCGAUAAGUAAUGUGAAUUGCAGAAUUCAGUGAAUCAUCGAGUCUUUGAACGCACAUUGCGCCCCCUGGUAUUCCGGGGGGCAUGCCUGUUCGAGCGUCAUUUCACCACUCAAGCCUCGCUUGGUAUUGGGCAACGCGGUCCGCCGCGUGCCUCAAAUCGACCGGCUGGGUCUUCUGUCCCCUAAGCGUUGUGGAAACUAUUCGCUAAAGGGUGUUCGGGAGGCUACGCCGUAAAACAACCCCAUUUCUAAGGUUGACCUCGGAUCAGGUAGGGAUACCCGCUGAACUUAAGCAUAUCAAUAAGCGGAGGA